UGGGGAAUAUUGCACAAUGGGGGAAACCCUGAUGCAGCAACGCCGCGUGAGUGAAGAAGUAUUUCGGUAUGUAAAGCUCUAUCAGCAGGGAAGAAAAUGACGGUACCUGACUAAGAAGCCCCGGCUAACUACGUGCCAGCAGCCGCGGUAAUACGUAGGGGGCAAGCGUUAUCCGGAUUUACUGGGUGUAAAGGGAGCGUAGACGGUGAAGCAAGUCUGAAGUGAAAGCCCGGGGCUCAACCCCGGGACUGCUUUGGAAACUGUUUUACUAGAGUGCAGGAGAGGUAAGCGGAAUUCCUAGUGUAGCGGUGAAAUGCGUAGAUAUUAGGAGGAACACCAGUGGCGAAGGCGGCUUACUGGACUGUAACUGACGUUGAGGCUCGAAAGCGUGGGGAGCAAACAGG
Molecule: ribosomal RNA, 404 nt
Filed under: uncultured Clostridium sp.
Lineage: Bacteria; Bacillati; Bacillota; Clostridia; Eubacteriales; Clostridiaceae
Description: bacterial SSU rRNA
Rfam family: Bacterial small subunit ribosomal RNA
Source: RNAcentral